AGAAGCUUGCUUCUGGUGGAUGAGUGGCGAACGGGUGAGUAACACGUGAGUAACCUGCCCCUGANUUCNGGAUAAGCCNGGGAAACUGGGUCUAAUACCGGAUACGACCAACCCUCGCAUGAGGGUUGGUGGAAAGUUUUUUCGAUCAGGGAUGGGCUCGCGGCCUAUCAGCUUGUUGGUGGGGUAAUGGCCCACCAAGGCGACGACGGGUAGCCGGCCUGAGAGGGCGACCGGCCACACUGGGACUGAGACACGGCCCAGACUCCUACGGGAGGCAGCAGUGGGGAAUAUUGCACAAUGGGGGAAACCCUGAUGCAGCGACGCAGCGUGCGGGAUGACGGCCUUCGGGUUGUAAACCGCUUUCAGCAGGGAAGAAGCGAAAGUGACGGUACCUGCAGAAGAAGUACCGGCUAACUACGUGCCAGCAGCCGCGGUAAUACGUAGGGUACGAGCGUUGUCCGGAAUUAUUGGGCGUAAAGAGCUCGUAGGUGGUUGGUCACGUCUGCUGUGGAAACGCAACGCUUAACGUUGCGCGUGCAGUGGGUACGGGCUGACUAGAGUGCAGUAGGGGAGUCUGGAAUUCCUGGUGUAGCGGUGAAAUGCGCAGAUAUCAGGAGGAACACCGGUGGCGAAGGCGGGACUCUGGGCUGUAACUGACACUGAGGAGCGAAAGCAUGGGGAGCGAACAGGAUUAGAUACCCUGGUAGUCCAUGCCGUAAACGUUGGGCACUAGGUGUGGGGGACAUUCCACGUUCUCCGCGCCGUACGUAACGCAUUAAGUGCCCCGCCUGGGGAGUACGGUCGCAAGGCUAAAACUCAAAGGAAUUGACGGGGGCCGCACAAGCGGCGGAGCAUGCGGAUUAAUUCGAUGCAACGCGAAGAACCUUACCAAGGCUUGACAUACACUGGACCGUUCUGGAAACAGUUCUUCUCUUUGGAGCUGGUGUACAGGUGGUGCAUGGUUGUCGUCAGCUCGUGUCGUGAGAUGUUGGGUUAAGUCCCGCAACGAGCGCAACCCUCGUUCUAUGUUGCCAGCACGUGAUGGUGGGAACUCAUAGGAGACUGCCGGGGUCAACUCGGAGGAAGGUGGGGAUGACGUCAAAUCAUCAUGCCCUUUAUGUCUUGGGCUUCACGCAUGCUACAAUGGCUGGUACAGAGAGAGGCGAACCCGUGAGGGUAAGCGAAUCCCUUAAAGCCAGUCUCAGUUCGGAUCGUAGUCUGCAAUUCGACUACGUGAAGUCGGAGUCGCUAGUAAUCGCAGAUCAGCAACGCUGCGGUGAAUACGUUCCCGGGCCUUGUACACACCGCCCGUCAAGUCACGAAAGUCGGUAACACCCGAAGCCGGUGUCCCAACCCCUUUUUUGGGGAGGGGGNNGUCUAAGGUGGGACUGGUGAUUGGGACUAAGUCGUAACAAGGUAGCCGUACCGGAAGGUGC
RNAcentral lists this ribosomal RNA (1436 nucleotides) under Brevibacterium iodinum. RNAcentral's name for it is "16S ribosomal RNA". It matches the Rfam family "Bacterial small subunit ribosomal RNA". The record is from RNAcentral. Lineage: Bacteria; Bacillati; Actinomycetota; Actinomycetes; Micrococcales; Brevibacteriaceae.